This 494-nucleotide ribosomal RNA is filed under the name uncultured bacterium. RNAcentral describes it as "bacterial SSU rRNA". It matches the Rfam family "Bacterial small subunit ribosomal RNA", at positions 899 to 1397 of the family's 1533-position model. The record is from RNAcentral.
ACUCAAAGGAAUAGACGGGGGCCCGCACAAGCAGUGGAGUAUGUGGUUUAAUUCGAAGCAACGCGAAGAACCUUACCGGGGCUUGACAUGGGGACGCUCGGCGUAGAGAUACGCCUUUCUUCGGACGUCCCACACAGGUGGUGCAUGGUUGUCGUCAGCUCGUGUCGUGAGAUGUUGGGUUAAGUCCCGCAACGAGCGCAACCCCUAUUAUUAGUUGCUACAUUUAGUUGAGCACUCUAAUGAGACUGCCGUUGACAAAACGGAGGAAGGUGGGGACGACGUCAAAUCAUCAUGCCCCUUAUGUCCCGGGCUACACACGUACUACAAUGGCGUUUAACAACGGGAAGCGAAGCCGCGAGGCGGAGCAAAACCCAAAAAGGCGCCUCAGUUCGGAUUGCAGGCUGCAACUCGCCUGCAUGAAGUCGGAAUUGCUAGUAAUCGCGAAUCAGCAUGUCGCGGUGAAUACGUUCCCGGGCCUUGCACACACCGCCCGU